This 1463-nucleotide ribosomal RNA is filed under the name uncultured Klebsiella sp. RNAcentral describes it as "bacterial SSU rRNA". It matches the Rfam family "Bacterial small subunit ribosomal RNA". The record is from RNAcentral. Lineage: Bacteria; Pseudomonadati; Pseudomonadota; Gammaproteobacteria; Enterobacterales; Enterobacteriaceae.
AUUGAACGCUGGCGGCAGGCCUAACACAUGCAAGUCGAGCGGUAGCACAGAGAGCUUGCUCUCGGGUGACGAGCGGCGGACGGGUGAGUAAUGUCUGGGAAACUGCCUGAUGGAGGGGGAUAACUACUGGAAACGGUAGCUAAUACCGCAUAACGUCGCAAGACCAAAGUGGGGGACCUUCGGGCCUCAUGCCAUCAGAUGUGCCCAGAUGGGAUUAGCUAGUAGGUGGGGUAACGGCUCACCUAGGCGACGAUCCCUAGCUGGUCUGAGAGGAUGACCAGCCACACUGGAACUGAGACACGGUCCAGACUCCUACGGGAGGCAGCAGUGGGGAAUAUUGCACAAUGGGCGCAAGCCUGAUGCAGCCAUGCCGCGUGUGUGAAGAAGGCCUUCGGGUUGUAAAGCACUUUCAGCGGGGAGGAAGGCGAUAAGGUUAAUAACCUUGUCGAUUGACGUUACCCGCAGAAGAAGCACCGGCUAACUCCGUGCCAGCAGCCGCGGUAAUACGGAGGGUGCAAGCGUUAAUCGGAAUUACUGGGCGUAAAGCGCACGCAGGCGGUCUGUCAAGUCGGAUGUGAAAUCCCCGGGCUCAACCUGGGAACUGCAUUCGAAACUGGCAGGCUAGAGUCUUGUAGAGGGGGGUAGAAUUCCAGGUGUAGCGGUGAAAUGCGUAGAGAUCUGGAGGAAUACCGGUGGCGAAGGCGGCCCCCUGGACAAAGACUGACGCUCAGGUGCGAAAGCGUGGGGAGCAAACAGGAUUAGAUACCCUGGUAGUCCACGCCGUAAACGAUGUCGAUUUGGAGGUUGUGCCCUUGAGGCGUGGCUUCCGGAGCUAACGCGUUAAAUCGACCGCCUGGGGAGUACGGCCGCAAGGUUAAAACUCAAAUGAAUUGACGGGGGCCCGCACAAGCGGUGGAGCAUGUGGUUUAAUUCGAUGCAACGCGAAGAACCUUACCUGGUCUUGACAUCCACAGAACUUAGCAGAGAUGCUUUGGUGCCUUCGGGAACUGUGAGACAGGUGCUGCAUGGCUGUCGUCAGCUCGUGUUGUGAAAUGUUGGGUUAAGUCCCGCAACGAGCGCAACCCUUAUCCUUUGUUGCCAGCGGUUAGGCCGGGAACUCAAAGGAGACUGCCAGUGAUAAACUGGAGGAAGGUGGGGAUGACGUCAAGUCAUCAUGGCCCUUACGACCAGGGCUACACACGUGCUACAAUGGCAUAUACAAAGAGAAGCGACCUCGCGAGAGCAAGCGGACCUCAUAAAGUAUGUCGUAGUCCGGAUUGGAGUCUGCAACUCGACUCCAUGAAGUCGGAAUCGCUAGUAAUCGUAGAUCAGAAUGCUACGGUGAAUACGUUCCCGGGCCUUGUACACACCGCCCGUCACACCAUGGGAGUGGGUUGCAAAAGAAGUAGGUAGCUUAACCUUCGGGAGGGCGCUUACCACUUUGUGAUUCAUGACUGGGGUGA